RNAcentral lists this ribosomal RNA (699 nucleotides) under Halopseudomonas pachastrellae. RNAcentral's name for it is "bacterial SSU rRNA". It matches the Rfam family "Bacterial small subunit ribosomal RNA", at positions 79 to 772 of the family's 1533-position model. The record is from RNAcentral. Lineage: Bacteria; Pseudomonadati; Pseudomonadota; Gammaproteobacteria; Pseudomonadales; Pseudomonadaceae.
CUUGCUUCUUCUUGAGAGCGGCGGACGGGUGCAGUAAUGCCUAGGAAUCUGCCUGGUAGUGGGGGACAACGUUUCGAAAGGAACGCUAAUACCGCAUACGUCCUACGGGAGAAAGUGGGGGAUCUUCGGACCUCACGCUAUCAGAUGAGCCUAGGUCGGAUUAGCUUGUAGGUGAGGUAAUGGCUCACCUAGGCAACGAUCCGUAACUGGUCUGAGAGGAUGAUCAGUCACACUGGAACUGAGACACGGUCCAGACUCCUACGGGAGGCAGCAGUGGGGAAUAUUGGACAAUGGGCGAAAGCCUGAUCCAGCCAUGCCGCGUGUGUGAAGAAGGUCUUCGGAUUGUAAAGCACUUUAAGUUGGGAGGAAGGGUUGUAGCUUAAUACGCUGCAACUUUGACGUUACCAACAGAAUAAGCACCGGCUAACUCUGUGCCAGCAGCCGCGGUAAUACAGAGGGUGCAAGCGUUAAUCGGAAUUACUGGGCGUAAAGCGCGCGUAGGCGGCUUGAUAAGAUGGGUGUGAAAUCCCCGGGCUUAACCUGGGAACUGCAUCCAUAACUGUCUGGCUAGAGUACAGUAGAGGGUGGUGGAAUUUCCUGUGUAGCGGUGAAAUGCGUAGAUAUAGGAAGGAACACCAGUGGCGAAGGCGACCACCUGGACUGAUACUGACGCUGAUGUGCGAAAGCGUGGGGAGCAAA